Hippocampus zosterae (dwarf seahorse) is the source of this 2414-nucleotide RNA transcript. It is a transcript of the gene named RNA binding motif protein X-linked, with no coding region annotated. The record is from RefSeq and is a predicted model, not a curated record. The transcript has 10 exons. NCBI's taxonomy places the organism in Eukaryota, Metazoa, Chordata, Actinopteri, Syngnathiformes, Syngnathidae.
AAAUAGGAAGAAGACAGCGAAGAAGAAGGGGUGGAUCUGAGUACGCCUGUUGAAAAGCGUUGUUUUCUCUUUUGUGGCGCCUUUCGACUUUUUGUGCCACAUCAACAGACAGAGGACUUAUACCGAGGUAUUGUCUCUUCCUUUAUAACAUCCUGGGUGGCCAACGGAAAUAUAUCUUCUUGUUGUUUACAAUCAAACGCCCGCUUCGUUUCGCGCCUCGAGUAACGAACGCGCUGCAGCUGGAGUGGGGGGCACUGUUAUCGCCAUUUUGCUUCCUCAACAACCCAAGCAAGCAUGGCAGAGGCAGACCGACCAGGCAAACUGUUUGUCGGCGGGCUGAAUACCGAGACCACCGAGAAGGCCUUGGAGCAGUAUUUCAGCAAAUAUGGCAGAAUUGUUCAAGUUCUUUUGAUGAAAGACCGUGAAACAAACAAGUCAAGGGGUUUUGCAUUUGUGACAUAUGAUAGUCCAGCCGAUGCAAAGGAUGCUGCACGUGAGAUGAAUGGAAAGUCUCUUGAUGGCAAGGCCAUCAAAGUGGAGCAGGCUACCAAGCCUAAUUAUGACAAUGGCAGCAGACGAGGUCCCCCACCCAUGCACUCUCGCAGCCGUGGCCCACCCAGGGGCCUCCGUGGAUCAAGGGGAGGUGGAAUGAGAGGCCCAUCCAGAGAUUACUAUGAUGAUGACGACGACGACGAACCCUUCUUUAAGGGGAUGUCAUCAAGAGGCCCCCCGCCAAUGAAGAGAGGACCCCCAAUGCGCAAUGGAGGCCCUCCACCUAAGAGAUCUGCCCCAUCUGGUCCAAUGAACAGACCCCCAAUGUCAAGGGACAGGGACCCCUAUGGUCCACCCCCUCGCAGAGACUCCAUGAUGUCCAGAAGGGAUGACUAUCCAUCACCGAGAGAUGACCACUACUCAAAGGAUGGCUACUCCAGCCGAGAUUAUAACUCAAGAGAUUCAAGGGACUAUGGUCCGCCUCCCAGGGAUUAUUCAUACCGCGAUUACUCCAGUUCCCGGGAUGACUACGGCUCAAUGUCAAGGGGUUACAAUGACCGUGAUGGCUAUGGUGGAGGACGGGAUUCCAGAAGCUACAUGGACCGUUCGAGUGGUGGCGGCGGAGGCGGCGGCUCAUACAGAGACUCGUUUGAUGGUUACGGAUGAACACUGGACGGCAAACAAACCUUGAUACACACUGCAACUCUGUCCAUUGGUACUCCCGUCAGACCAGUAGGCCGAUGAUGAACGCGUACCAAUCUGUGGAGUGUCUGCCACAGCCCUGAGACAACUCCAUGAAAGACUGCUGGAUAAUGAGAAGAGGCUGAUUAUUGGGUUCAAAAUGUACUUUUUAAUAAAUGGCCAAAAAAAAAGUGACUCUGUUCAGUGUGUCAUCAUCAAAGACUGAUAGAAAUGAACUUCAAAACUGAACUGAAAUUCUAUUCCAGUACAAACACAUUACCUGUACUUUCCUCAAUAAGUGACCCCCUCCAAUAAUUUAGCAUGUCCCAAGUAUGAUGAUAAAAGGGAAAUGCAAAAGGCCACUUUAAAAAUUCAAUGGUUAACCACCACAGCCAAAUGUUUAGAAUCGGUCAGGACUUCUGAUUAUUUUGCUUCCAGAAAACACUUUUUUCACAUUUCGGGCUAUAACCAUACAAUGUCAAAACCGGGGAAAUAAAAGUUUUAAGAGGAAACCGUGCCACCUUUGAAAUGGCAGGACUGUGAUAUGCCCCUUCCGCCUCCCGCAGUUUGUGUCUCCCAAUAACAUUUAGGUAAAUGGACUUUGAAUGCUACUAAACUUAGUAGUAUUGGGUUGAUAAAAAUAAAAAACUAGAUUGAAGUUGUAUAGUUUCUUCAUCUAUCACCUGAACGGCUUACCAUUAUACACCCAUGACCAACAGUCAUGGGUGCUUUUUCCCAUGACUGUUAUCUGACCAGAAUCUAGUUCUGCUCUACAACGUAAAUUACGGAUAAAUGUUUAAUCACCUCAUAUUACAUGUAUAGCACACAACAAAUUGAUGGACAACUAGGUUUAAAAUCAGACGUCAAGAAUAAUGACUGCUAUUGUGGAUUACAUUAAACAAAUUUACAUUUUGGUUCAGACUUUAGCAAGCAUCAUGGAACUUGACAUGCUUGAUUUGCUUUCGCGGGCCACAUAAAUUGAUGUGAUGGGCCAGAUCUGGCCCCCGGGCCUGAACUUUGACAAUUGUAUUUAAAAUAUAAUUUUACAGAAUGGGUCGAUGACAAACCUAUAUAUUCAUGCAAAUGUUUACACUUUACACGUAUAAACUUUUGCAUUCAAUAGUCUUGUUACAGAUUACCUUAAAACUACAUAUAGGACUGGAUCUGGUGUGCAGGCCUUGAAUUUGACAUUUGUACUUUAAAUAGGUCUCUGGCCAACGUAUAUUGCAAAAAUAAAUAAA